Molecule: ribosomal RNA, 20 nt
Filed under: Cystobasidium pinicola
Lineage: Eukaryota; Fungi; Basidiomycota; Cystobasidiomycetes; Cystobasidiales; Cystobasidiaceae
Description: partial 26S ribosomal RNA
Source: RNAcentral
UUAGACCUCAAAUCAGUCAG